This 370-nucleotide ribosomal RNA is filed under the name uncultured eukaryote. RNAcentral's name for it is "partial 18S ribosomal RNA". It matches the Rfam family "Eukaryotic small subunit ribosomal RNA", at positions 592 to 976 of the family's 1831-position model. The record is from RNAcentral.
CAAUAGCGUAUAUUAAAGUUGUUGCAGUUAAAAAGCUCGUAGUUGGACCUUGGACCUGGACAGGCGGUCCGCCUCACGGCGAGUACUGUCUUGCUGGGUCUUUCCUCUUGGUGAUCUGUUGUUUCGGCAGCAGGGAACCAGGACCUUUACUUUGAAAAAAUUAGAGUGUUCAAAGCAGGCUCGACGCCGGAAUAUAUUAGCAUGGAAUAAUAAAAUAGGACGUGCGGUUCUAUUUUGUUGGUUUUUGGAAUCGCCGUAAUGAUUAAUAGGGACAGUCGGGGGCAUUAGUACUCACAUGCUAGAGGUGGAAUUCUUGGAUUUUGUGAAGACUAACUUCUGCGAAAGCAUUUGCCAAGGAUGUUUUCAUUAA